This 494-nucleotide ribosomal RNA is filed under the name uncultured bacterium. RNAcentral describes it as "partial 16S ribosomal RNA". It matches the Rfam family "Bacterial small subunit ribosomal RNA", at positions 28 to 523 of the family's 1533-position model. The record is from RNAcentral.
GAUGAACGCUAGCGGCAGGCCUAACACAUGCAAGUCGAGGGGUAUAGGCUUUCGGGCCUAGAGACCGGCGCACGGGUGCGUAACGCGUAUGCAAUCUACCUUGUACAGGGGGAUAGCCCAGAGAAAUUUGGAUUAAUACCCCAUGGUAUUUUAGGGUGGCAUCACCUUAUUAUUAAAGUUCCAACGGUACAAGCUGAGCAUGCGUCCCAUUAGCUAGUUGGUAUGGUAACGGCAUACCAAGGCAAUGAUGGGUAGGGGUCCUGAGAGGGAGAUCCCCCACACUGGUACUGAGACACGGACCAGACUCCUACGGGAGGCAGCAGUGAGGAAUAUUGGUCAAUGGGCGCAAGCCUGAACCAGCCAUGCCGCGUGCAGGAUGACGCAUCUAUGGUGUGUAAACUGCUUUUGUACGGGAAGAAACCACUCUACGUGUAGAGUAUUGACGGUACCGUAAGAAUAAGGAUCGGCUAACUCCGUGCCAGCCGCCGCCGUAA